RNAcentral lists this transfer RNA (73 nucleotides) under Scopulibacillus darangshiensis. It matches the Rfam family "tRNA". From Rfam's summary of the family: Transfer RNA (tRNA) molecules are approximately 80 nucleotides in length. Lineage: Bacteria; Bacillati; Bacillota; Bacilli; Caryophanales; Sporolactobacillaceae. The record is from Rfam by way of RNAcentral.
GGCCCCGUAGCUCAGGGGAUAGAGCGUUGGUUUCCUAAACCAUGCGUCGGGAGUUCGAAUCUCUCCGGGGCCG